RNAcentral lists this ribosomal RNA (1452 nucleotides) under Raoultella sp. RNAcentral describes it as "bacterial SSU rRNA". It matches the Rfam family "Bacterial small subunit ribosomal RNA". The record is from RNAcentral. Lineage: Bacteria; Pseudomonadati; Pseudomonadota; Gammaproteobacteria; Enterobacterales; Enterobacteriaceae.
GGCUUGGGCGCAGCUACACAUGCAGUCGAGCGGUAGCACAGAAGAGCUUGCUCUUUGGGUGACGAGCGGCGGACGGGUGAGUAAUGUCUGGGAAACUGCCUGAUGGAGGGGGAUAACUACUGGAAACGGUAGCUAAUACCGCAUAACGUCGCAAGACCAAAGUGGGGGACCUUCGGGCCUCAUGCCAUCAGAUGUGCCCAGAUGGGAUUAGCUAGUAGGUGAGGUAAUGGCUCACCUAGGCGACGAUCCCUAGCUGGUCUGAGAGGAUGACCAGCCACACUGGAACUGAGACACGGUCCAGACUCCUACGGGAGGCAGCAGUGGGGAAUAUUGCACAAUGGGCGCAAGCCUGAUGCAGCCAUGCCGCGUGUAUGAAGAAGGCCUUCGGGUUGUAAAGUACUUUCAGCGAGGAGGAAGGCGUUAAGGUUAAUAACCUUAGCGAUUGACGUUACUCGCAGAAGAAGCACCGGCUAACUCCGUGCCAGCAGCCGCGGUAAUACGGAGGGUGCAAGCGUUAAUCGGAAUUACUGGGCGUAAAGCGCACGCAGGCGGUCUGUCAAGUCGGAUGUGAAAUCCCCGGGCUCAACCUGGGAACUGCAUCCGAAACUGGCAGGCUAGAGUCUUGUAGAGGGGGGUAGAAUUCCAGGUGUAGCGGUGAAAUGCGUAGAGAUCUGGAGGAAUACCGGUGGCGAAGGCGGCCCCCUGGACAAAGACUGRCGCUCAGGUGCGAAAGCGUGGGGAGCAAACAGGAUUAGAUACCCUGGUAGUCCACGCUGUAAACGAUGUCGACUUGGAGGUUGUUCCCUUGAGGAGUGGCUUCCGGAGCUAACGCGUUAAGUCGACCGCCUGGGGAGUACGGCCGCAAGGUUAAAACUCAAAUGAAUUGACGGGGGCCCGCACAAGCGGUGGAGCAUGUGGUUUAAUUCGAUGCAACGCGAAGAACCUUACCUACUCUUGACAUCCAGAGAACUUAGCAGAGAUGCUUUGGUGCCUUCGGGAACUCUGAGACAGGUGCUGCAUGGCUGUCGUCAGCUCGUGUUGUGAAAUGUUGGGGUUAAGUCCCGCAACGAGCGCAACCCUUAUCCUUUGUUGCCAGCGGUUCGGCCGGGAACUCAAAGGARACUGCCAGUGAUAAACUGGAGGAAAGGUGGGGAUGAACKUCAAGUCAUCAUGGCCCUUACGAGUAGGGCUACACACGUGCUACAAUGGCAUAUACAAAGAGAAGCGACCUCGCGAGAGCAAGCGGACCUCAUAAAGUAUGUCGUAGUCCGGAUCGGAGUCUGCAACUCGACUCCGUGAAGUCGGAAUCGCUAGUAAUCGUGGAUCAGAAUGCCACGGUGAAUACGUUCCCGGGCCUUGUACACACCGCCCGUCACACCAUGGGAGUGGGUUGCAAAAGAAGUAGGUAGCUUAACCUUCGGGAGGGCGCUACCACCUUGGAUACAGGGCCUU